This 335-nucleotide unclassified non-coding RNA is filed under the name Colacogloea cycloclastica. RNAcentral's name for it is "partial contains 5.8S ribosomal RNA, internal transcribed spacer 2, and large subunit ribosomal RNA". Lineage: Eukaryota; Fungi; Basidiomycota; Microbotryomycetes; Colacogloeaceae. The record is from RNAcentral.
CGCACCUUGCGCUUGCUGGUAUUCCGGCAAGCAUGCCUGUUUGAGUGUCAUGAACUCUUCAACCCUCCAAUUCCUUGUUUGAAUUGCGAGGUGUUUGGAUUUUGAAUGUCUUGCUGGCUGAAGUUCCCUUUAGUCUAGCUCAUUCGUAAUACAUUAGCAUCUCAAUUUCGAAUUUUGUAAUUCGGUUUGACUCGGCGUAAUAGACUUUUUAUAUUCGCUGAGGACACCAAUUCAGUUUGGUGGCCGAAUUUCGAAGUAGAAGCUUCCAAUACAAAAAGUCUACUUUUUUCCUAAGAUUAGACCUCAGAUCAGGCAGGACUACCCGCUGAACUUAA